GAGGCCGUCACAGGUGCUGCAUGGCUGUCGUCAGCUCGUGCCGUGAGGUGUAUGGUUAAGUCCUGCAACGAGCGCAACCCUCGUCGCUAGUUGAUUUCUCUAGCGAGACUGCCCCGCAAAACGGGGAGGAAGGUGGGGAUGACGUCAAGUCAGCAUGGCCUUUAUAUCUUGGGCUACACACACGCUACAAUGGAUGGCACAAUAGGUUGCAACAGCGCGAGCUGAAGCUAAUCCCCAAAGCCAUCCUCAGUACAGAUUGCAGGCUGAAACCCGCCUGCAUGAAGUCGGAGUUGCUAGUAACCGCAAAUCAGCAUGUUGCGGUGAAUACGUUCUCGGGCCUU
RNAcentral lists this ribosomal RNA (341 nucleotides) under uncultured Chloroflexota bacterium. Its description in RNAcentral is "bacterial SSU rRNA". It matches the Rfam family "Bacterial small subunit ribosomal RNA", at positions 1025 to 1382 of the family's 1533-position model. The record is from RNAcentral. Lineage: Bacteria; Bacillati; Chloroflexota.